Molecule: ribosomal RNA, 464 nt
Filed under: uncultured bacterium
Lineage: Bacteria
Description: partial 16S ribosomal RNA
Rfam family: Bacterial small subunit ribosomal RNA
Source: RNAcentral
GAUGAACGCUGGCGGCGUGCUUAACACAUGCAAGUCGAACGGAAAGGCCCCUGCUUGCAGCGGUACUCGAGUGGCGAACGGGUGAGUAACACGUGGGUUAUCUGCCCCGCACUUCGGGAUAAGCCUGGACACUGGGUUUAAUACCGGACAGGACGAUGGUUUGUAUGCCAUUGUGGAAAGUUUUUCGGUGUGUGAUGAGCUCGCGGCCUAUCAGCUUGUUGGUGGGGUAAUGGCCUACCAAGGCGUCGACGGGUAGCCGGCCUGAGAGGGUGUACGGCCACAUUGGGACUGAGAUACGGCCCAGACUCCUACGGGAGGCAGCAGUGGGGAAUAUUGCACAAUGGGCGCAAGCCUGAUGCAGCGACGCCGCGUGGGGGAUGACGGCCUUCGGGUUGUAAACUCCUUUCGCUAGGGACGAAGCGCAAGUGACGGUACCUGGAGAAGAAGCACCGGCUAACUACGUG